CACUGAAUUUAGUUCUGUGGAUACAAAGAUGCACAAGUAAUUCUGUCCCUUUCAUGGACUUUGACCUGUACCAGGAUUAUUCUCUGCUUUUCCAUGGUACCACAAUCUUGCUAUGCUUUUUAAACAACAGGCAGAGGAGAAAUUUUGCUUGAGCUCUGAAGUUAGAUUUUCUGAAACUUGAGGUGAAAACUCCUAGGCCACAGUCUUCCUUGUGGAUAUUUGGAUGUAAACUCCAAAUGUUUGGAUGUAAAAACUAUUUGGAUGUAAAAAAAAACUAUUUGGAUGUAAAAACUCCAGUCUUCCUUGUGGAUAUUUGGAUGUAAAACAAAGCAAGAGGUGACUUGAGCUCAAGGUCCACCACUCUGGGUUUAUGUGUUACUUCACAACUAUCUCACAGCCUCCCUGGGAGGCUCAGGUAGGACUUCAGCUAUGGAAAGGGGUAGGUGUCUUAUUUUUUCAUCUUCCUGUCAUGAUACAAUAAUGCUUAACAGUUAAACAACUACGUUUUGAACCCAUGUCUUCUAGGAAGUAAGGGAGGAUGGCACACUUUACUAUUCAUGGACACGCAUUUAUAGACACCCAAACACUAUGCCAACUUAUGUUUGGUGUUUAAACAUUAGUGUGUUCUAUUUGUUUUUUUUUUUUUUUUUUUUCUUUGUUUGGUAGAUGGAUUUGGCAGAAGAGAAAAACGAGUAGAUAAAGAUUUUGGAGGGGUAGAUGAAAUCCAAUUGUUCCAUCCUCACUAGGAAAUGCUUAAUACAUGCAGUGGGUAUGGAGGAGCAUUUCAGGUAUCCUGUUUUCUAAAGGCGCACUUCUCUCCAGGCUGGAACAGUGGAGAGCACUGGGUCUCAAGAGAGUUGAUGCUCCGAAGGAAAAUGUACCCAGGUGAGGGUUUAAAGAACAAACAGCCAGAAGAAUGAACUAACAUUUCUGAUUUUUAAGAUAUGGUAAAUUAGUGGCCUUUUAUACAGGUAUUCAAAUUCCUUAAAACCUAGCUGGAGGCCUUGAGGUUUUCUGAUGAUGACCUGCAUUAUGUAGUUUGCCUUGGGUGAAUAGUAUAAAUGUGUGUGGCUUGGGUAUUUUAUUUAUUUAUUUGUAUUUUUUUAAACAGUCUUCAGUUGUUUUUCUUUUUAAAUUAG
RNAcentral lists this long non-coding RNA (1139 nucleotides) under Bos indicus x Bos taurus (hybrid cattle). RNAcentral describes it as "lncRNA (ENSBIXG00005008056.1)". The record is from RNAcentral. Lineage: Eukaryota; Metazoa; Chordata; Mammalia; Artiodactyla; Bovidae.